GACGAACGCUGGCGGCGUGCUUAACACAUGCAAGUCGAACGGAAAGGCCCUGCUUUUGUGGGGUGCUCGAGUGGCGAACGGGUGAGUAACACGUGAGUAACCUGCCCUUGACUUUGGGAUAACUUCAGGAAACUGGGGCUAAUACCGGAUAGGAGCUCCUGCUGCAUGGUGGAGGUUGGAAAGUUUCGGCGGUUGGGGAUGGACUCGCGGCUUAUCAGCUUGUUGGUGGGGUAGUGGCUUACCAAGGCUUUGACGGGUGGCCGGCCUGAGAGGGUGACCGGCCACAUUGGGACUGAGAUACGGCCCAGACUCCUACGGGAGGCAGCAGUGGGGAAUAUUGCACAAUGGGCGGAAGCCUGAUGCAGCAACGCCGCGUGCGGGAUGACGGCCUUCGGGUUGUAAACCGCUUUCGCCUGUGACGAAGCGUGAGUGACGGUAAUGGGUAAAGAAGCACCGGCUAACUACGUG
This 468-nucleotide ribosomal RNA is filed under the name uncultured bacterium. Its description in RNAcentral is "partial 16S ribosomal RNA". It matches the Rfam family "Bacterial small subunit ribosomal RNA", at positions 28 to 507 of the family's 1533-position model. The record is from RNAcentral.